UGUAUAUAAUGUAAGUUCAGUGCUAUGUGCGUGAGACAGUGAGUCACGAUAGAAUUAGGUUUAGACAUUUUUUUUUAUUCUUUAGAUUUAACCUUUUUUUUUUGUCAUGACCAAUCCAAUCAAAUUUUCAGAUUAGAUCGGGUUGGGUAAAGUACUACUCGAUCAGAUUGGGCAAAUAAUUCGAUCCAAUCUAAUCCUAAUUUUUUUUUUGUUGGGUUCGGUUGGAUCGGGUUAUUUGCCUAUCUUUACCACAGCAUCACUGUCUCCCUAGUAAAUACAACCAAUGGAGUCCUCCAUAGGCGCAUCUUCAUAGAUUGUAUAUCCAUUCCAUGUAAGGCGUUAGCGAAGAUGAUAUCUACGAAACUUUUAGUGUCACAAGUGCAUCAUUAUAGGCAUAAGAGAAUCCCUCGACAACACUGUUAACUUUUAAGUUUGGAGGUGGGUGUUUUUAUAGAGGUGGAUGUGUUAGGGGCGUCUCAUCUAUUGUUCCUACUUAUUUUAUCCCUUUCUUUUGGGACAUCGAUGAAAAAUUCAGGGGUUUGUCGUUGUUGAUAAGGGUUUGGAUCUUCUUCUUGAGGUAGAAGUAUUUUGUAGUUAUAUGGCCAUAAUCUUGGUGGAACUCACAAUACUUGUUGUUAAGCAGUCCCUUAUAUUUAAUCUAAAAAAAGGAUUUGCUCACACAUGGUAUUGAGCUCGUCAUAAUAAGAAAAACAGAAAAUCAAGAGGAGAUGCUCAUUUUGGGAACAAUUAAGCAGUUAGGGACGAUUUCCCAGAUUAGGUUAGCGUGGUGUUCUUGACAAAUGAGGGUUGUUGUAUGCUCUAUUUCAGCGAGAAAGAGGUAGGGAGCUUCAAUUACACUCUUAUCUCUGUGAAGAUUCAUGUUUUGCCUAUAGUGGUUGGGCCAUCUCAUGUCUUUUAAUGGUAAAACGUUCUUCGAUAUCGAUGAGCUCAAAAGCCCGAUGGUGUGUUGCUACAUAUAUUUUAGGCUCAUUGUAUUUAUUGAACUUUUUGUAGAUCUUCUCGUCUUUGAGAUUUUUACAGAAGAUCUAAAGGGUUAUUCCUUCACUGCAUUAAUGACGCCUUUAAUGGGCAUUUGGCCUUCAUAAGUCUCAAGGCGUAUGGUGGGAUUGGUACGGCCUUCAUGGGGUGAGAUUUGGGGUAUGGUAAAGUCAAUUAAAAAGAACCAAGCCAGCGAUUUUCUUGGUGAGUGUGGAGUGCAAGGAAGGGGGAGAUCUCAGGGAUGAUUCCCUUUCCUUUUGCAAUCUGAUCUACUUUUUUACAGUGGUAAAGUUCAGCCAUUACAUCACUAUUAACUUAUUCUCAGCCAACUCUUCCCCCUUACAUUAAAGCUUAGCAUUCCACUUGUCAUGGAGAUCAAUAAAGAUGGGCGGGGUUUGCCUUUUGGGUUGUCCCCUUAUAUUGUAACUGGUGGCGGUGAAUUUUACAUCUUUAUUGUGUAUAAGUUUCGUUUUUAAUCCAGUUAAGGGAGUUUACUUGGUCUAGCCCUAGUAGAUGGGAUGGCUGGAAUCGUCACAGUGAGUGGUGGAGUAAGACCGACUUUGUCCAGGAGUAUGAGAUGAAAAACGGCUUGGAGGAUGUAUCUUAUCAACUGUUGAACAUCAUCUUGGGUUAAAGGCUUUUCAUUUUGCUUGGAGACUGCUUUGGCUAGAGCUUUGCUUUAGCCGUCGGAGUUCUAUUGGCUGUGUUUCUCACGGCCCUCAAUAGUAUCUUGUUAGGGGUCAUCACCCUCUUGUGGGUUGUUAGUGACCAUAUUUGAUUUAUGGGUAAAUAGGUUUUUUAUAGGUAAAGGUAAAAAUUUUUGGAGAAAAGUAGUUUGUUUUUUUUUUUUGUGAAAGAUGCAAUCUUUAAUGGAAAAAGUAAUGGCUUUAUAUGUAGAAAUGAGUGGGUACAAUUACAGAGUGGGUGGAUUCUUUAAAGAUAAGAGGCUUUCUUUGUUAAUGGAGGUUAGGAUAAUGAACUUUUUGUUCGA
RNAcentral lists this long non-coding RNA (1990 nucleotides) under Citrus maxima (pomelo). RNAcentral's name for it is "long non-coding RNA (CMAX_LNC003971)". Lineage: Eukaryota; Viridiplantae; Streptophyta; Magnoliopsida; Sapindales; Rutaceae. The record is from RNAcentral.